GACGAACGCUGGCGGCGUGCUUAACACAUGCAAGUCGAGCGGUAAGGCCCUUUCGGGGGUACACGAGCGGCGAACGGGUGAGUAACACGUGGGUGACCUGCCCUCAGCUCUGGGGAUAAGCCUGGGAAACUGGGUCUAAUACUGGAUAUGACUCCACGGUGCAUGUCGUGGGGUGGAAAGCCUUGUGCGGCUGAGGAUGGGCCCGCGGCCUAUCAGCUUGUUGGUGGGGUGANGGCCUACCAAGGCGACGACGGGUAGCCGGCCUGAGAGGGCGACCGGCCACACUGGGACUGAGACACGGCCCAGACUCCUACGGGAGGCAGCAGUGGGGAAUCUUGCGCAAUGGGCGAAAGCCUGACGCAGCGACGCCGCGUGAGGGAUGACGGCCUC
Molecule: ribosomal RNA, 390 nt
Filed under: uncultured bacterium
Lineage: Bacteria
Description: bacterial SSU rRNA
Rfam family: Bacterial small subunit ribosomal RNA
Source: RNAcentral